CGCAUCUGUGCAUGCAGCAUAUCAAUAAGCGGAGGAAAAGAAACCUAACAAGGAUUCCCCUAGUAACGGCGAGUGAAGCGGGAAGAGCUCAAAUUUGAAAUCUUAAAGGGUUUCCCUUUACGAAUUGUAGUUUAAAGAAGUGUUUUCUGUUGAGGUUUUGGUAAAAGUUCUUUGGAAUAGGACAUCAUAGAGGGUGAGAAUCCCGUAUUUGACCUUUACUUUCAACUUUGUGAUACACUUUCAAAGAGUCGGAUUGUUUGGGAAGUGCAGUCCAAAAUGGGUGGUAAAUUUCAUCUAAAGCUAAAUAUUGGCGAGAGACCGAUAGCGAACAAGUACCGUGAGGGAAAGAUGAAAAGAACUUUGAAAAGAGAGUUAAACAGUACGUGAAACUGUCAAAAGGGAAGCGUUUGACACCAGUGUUGUUUUUCUGAAGAUCAAUUAAAGAACUGUUUAUGCUAAGUUGUUUAGACUUUAUCAGCUAACUGUUUAGUUUUGAGCUUUUCUUUAAUGCACUUUUCAGUUAACAAGUCAACAUCAAUUUCUUUUGCUGUAGAAAAAGCUUGAGGAAGGUGGCUUGAGAUUCGUCUUAAGUGUUUAUAGCCUCUUGCCUAUGCAGUCGGAGAGAUUGAGGUCUGCAGCGUAGAUCCUUCGGGGCUAAAUGCAUUUGUGCUAAGUUAUAGCAUUUUAUAGACAACUUGUUGACUAUGAUUUGUCUUGUAGCUUACUCGCUUAUGUUAUUUUACCUACGCUUAGGAUGUUGAACGCGCACAGAGUCUC
RNAcentral lists this ribosomal RNA (777 nucleotides) under uncultured Neocallimastigales. RNAcentral's name for it is "partial large subunit ribosomal RNA". It matches the Rfam family "Eukaryotic large subunit ribosomal RNA", at positions 26 to 614 of the family's 3401-position model. The record is from RNAcentral. Lineage: Eukaryota; Fungi; Neocallimastigomycota; Neocallimastigomycetes; Neocallimastigales.